Molecule: ribosomal RNA, 449 nt
Filed under: uncultured bacterium
Lineage: Bacteria
Description: partial 16S ribosomal RNA
Rfam family: Bacterial small subunit ribosomal RNA
Source: RNAcentral
GUGGGGAAUCAUGGUCAAUGGGCAAAAGCCUGAACCUGCGACGCCGCGUGAGUGAUGAAGGUCGUAAGAUCGUAAAACUCUUUUCAGGGAUCUUAAAGCUUUUCUGUCAACAACAGAAAAGUGUGACUCUCCCUGGAAUAAGCCCCAGCCAACUACGUGCCAGCAGCUGCGGUAAUACGUAGGGGGCGAGCGUUAUUCGGAAUUACUGGGUGUAAAGGGUAUGUAGGCGGCCUCACAAGUCGCAUGUAAAAGUCCAGAGCUUAACUCUGGGUUCGCAUGCGAUACUGUGAUGGCUUGAGGGCUGGAGAGGUGAGCGGAAUUCCCGGUGUAGUGGUAAAAUACGUAGAUAUCGGGAGGAACACCAGCGGCGUAGGCGGCUCACUAGACAGUUUCUGACGCUAAGAUACGAAAGCGUGGGGAGCAAACAGGAUUAGAAACCCGGGUAGUCC